UGGAUACCAUUGACUAACCACGACGACGUAGACUGGUGACGGAUCGACUGACAACUGGAAAUCAAAGGUGGCAGAGGCAACGACCUCCGAACAAUAGCAUUAUAGAGUGGUGGCCGUGACUGACGGCGGUAUAGACCGGCGACUGAUGACAACAACGACAACCGAAGACAGUAUAGACCACAACCGACUGCGGCAGAGACUAGUCCGACGACUGACAGCGACGGGGGACCGGGCUACCCUCGAUUGGCAUCAAAGAGGUGUUAAUGUUUAUCAAACAAUAAGUUUCCUAAUAAGUUU
RNAcentral lists this long non-coding RNA (297 nucleotides) under Linum usitatissimum (flax). Its description in RNAcentral is "long non-coding RNA (LUSI_LNC007661)". Lineage: Eukaryota; Viridiplantae; Streptophyta; Magnoliopsida; Malpighiales; Linaceae. The record is from RNAcentral.